Molecule: transfer RNA, 65 nt
Filed under: Acrida willemsei
Lineage: Eukaryota; Metazoa; Arthropoda; Insecta; Orthoptera; Acrididae
Description: tRNA-Pro
Source: RNAcentral
CAGGAAUUAGUUUAUUUAAAAAUAUUGAUUUUGGAAAUCAAUGAUAGGUUUUUAUCUAUUCCUGA